GAUGAACGCUGGCGGCGUGCCUAAUACAUGCAAGUCGAGCGAACGGACGAGAAGCUUGCUUCUCUGAUGUUAGCGGCGGACGGGUGAGUAAGACGUGGAUAACCUACCUAUAAGACUGGGAUAACCUCGGGAAACCGGAGCUAAUACCGGAUAAUAUUUUGAACCGCAUGGUUCAAAAGUGAAAGACGGUCUUGCUGUCACUUAUAGAUGGAUCCGCGCUGCAUUAGCUAGUUGGUAAGGUAACGGCUUACCAAGGCAACGAUGCAUAGCCGACCUGAGAGGGUGAUCGGCCACACUGGAACUGAGACACGGUCCAGACUCCUACGGGAGGCAGCAGUAGGGAAUCUUCCGCAAUGGGCGAAAGCCUGACGGAGCAACGCCGCGUGAGUGAUGAAGGUCUUCGGAUCGUAAAACUCUGUUAUUAGGGAAGAACAUAUGUGUAAGUAACUGUGCACAUCUUGACGGUACCUAAUCAGAAAGCCACGGCUAACUACGUG
RNAcentral lists this ribosomal RNA (497 nucleotides) under uncultured bacterium. RNAcentral describes it as "partial 16S ribosomal RNA". It matches the Rfam family "Bacterial small subunit ribosomal RNA", at positions 28 to 507 of the family's 1533-position model. The record is from RNAcentral.